GCAAGUUGAGCGCUGAAGGGUUGGUACUUGUACCGACUGGAUGAGCAGCGAACGGGUGAGUAACGCGUGGGGAAUCUGCCUUUGAGCGGGGGACAACAUUUGGAAACGAAUGCUAAUACCGCAUAAAAACUUUAAACACAAGUUUUAAGUUUGAAAGAUGCAAUUGCAUCACUCAAAGAUGAUCCCGCGUUGUAUUAGCUAGUUGGUGAGGUAAAGGCUCACCAAGGCGAUGAUACAUAGCCGACCUGAGAGGGUGAUCGGCCACAUUGGGACUGAGACACGGCCCAAACUCCUACGGGAGGCAGCAGUAGGGAAUCUUCGGCAAUGGACGAAAGUCUGACCGAGCAACGCCGCGUGAGUGAAGAAGGUUUUCGGAUCGUAAAACUCUGUUGGUAGAGAAGAACGUUGGUGAGAGUGGAAAGCUCAUCAAGUGACGGUAACUACCCAGAAAGGGACGGCUAACUACGUGCCAGCAGCCGCGGUAAUACGUAGGUCCCGAGCGUUGUCCGGAUUUAUUGGGCGUAAAGCGAGCGCAGGUGGUUUAUUAAGUCUGGUGUAAAAGGCAGUGGCUCAACCAUUGUAUGCAUUGGAAACUGGUAGACUUGAGUGCAGGAGAGGAGAGUGGAAUUCCAUGUGUAGCGGUGA
RNAcentral lists this ribosomal RNA (645 nucleotides) under Lactococcus lactis. RNAcentral's name for it is "bacterial SSU rRNA". It matches the Rfam family "Bacterial small subunit ribosomal RNA", at positions 57 to 684 of the family's 1533-position model. Lineage: Bacteria; Bacillati; Bacillota; Bacilli; Lactobacillales; Streptococcaceae. The record is from RNAcentral.